GUAGGUGGCAAGCGUUGUCCGGAAUUAUUAGGCGUAAAGCGCGCGCAGGCGGUUCUUUAAGUCUGAUGUGAAAGCCCACGGCUCAACCGUGGAGGGUCAUUGGAAACUGGAGAACUUGAGUACAGAAGAGGAAAGCGGAAUUCCACGUGUAGCGGUGAAAUGCGUAGAGAUGUGGAGGAACACCAGUGGCGAAGGCGGCUUUCUGGUCUGUAACUGACGCUGAGGCGCGAAGGCGUGGGGAGCAAACAGGAUUAGAUACCCUGGUAGUCCACGCCGUAAACGAUGAGUGCUAAGUGUUAGGGGGGUUUCCGCCCCCCUUAGUGCUGCAGCUAACGCAUUAAGCACUCCGCCCUGGGAGUACGGCCGCAAGGCUG
Molecule: ribosomal RNA, 374 nt
Filed under: uncultured organism
Description: partial 16S ribosomal RNA
Rfam family: Bacterial small subunit ribosomal RNA
Source: RNAcentral